GACGAACGCUGGCGGCGUGCUUAACACAUGCAAGUCGAACGAAGAGCGAUGGAAGCUUGCUUCUAUCAAUCUUAGUGGCGAACGGGUGAGUAACGCGUAAUCAACCUGCCCUUCAGAGGGGGACAACAGUUGGAAACGACUGCUAAUACCGCAUACGAUCUAAUCUCGGCAUCGAGGAAAGAUGAAAGGUGGCCUCUAUUUAUAAGCUAUCACUGAAGGAGGGGAUUGCGUCUGAUUAGCUAGUUGGAGGGGUAACGGCCCACCAAGGCGAUGAUCAGUAGCCGGUCUGAGAGGAUGAACGGCCACAUUGGGACUGAGACACGGCCCAGACUCCUACGGGAGGCAGCAGUGGGGAAUCUUCCGCAAUGGACGAAAGUCUGACGGAGCAACGCCGCGUGAGUGAUGACGGCCUUCGGGUUGUAAAGCUCUGUUAAUCGGGACGAAAGGCCUUCUUGCGAACAGUUAGAGGGAUUGACGGUACCGGAAUAGAAAGCCACGGCUAACUACGUG
This 510-nucleotide ribosomal RNA is filed under the name uncultured bacterium. Its description in RNAcentral is "partial 16S ribosomal RNA". It matches the Rfam family "Bacterial small subunit ribosomal RNA", at positions 28 to 507 of the family's 1533-position model. The record is from RNAcentral.